This is a long non-coding RNA of Trifolium pratense (red clover), 312 nucleotides long. RefSeq lists it as uncharacterized. The transcript has 2 exons. NCBI's taxonomy places the organism in Eukaryota, Viridiplantae, Streptophyta, Magnoliopsida, Fabales, Fabaceae. The record is from RefSeq and is a predicted model, not a curated record.
UUCUUAGAAUUGGAAGCUCUUCUUGGGGUUUGGCUGCGGUUUUGGUGAUGCUCUUGUUGUUCUUUAUUGGCAAACCUCAGUUCAAGAGUUCUUGUGGAGAUAGAGAUAUAUAAAUUAAAUAUGACCAAAGUUUUAAAUCACAAUCCCAGUAGUGGUCGCGUAAGAUAUUUGGUAUUGCAAAGAAUUGUGAUCAUAUAUAUUUGAUACGAUCUAAAUUGAAAUCGUAUUUUGUAUUAAGUUCAUGUUCGUUUUCGUGGUGGAAUAAUAUUAGAUUUACAUCCAAUUCAAAACUUUGGUUUAUAGCUUCUUCAA